Non-coding RNA from Picea glauca (white spruce), 122 nucleotides. NCBI's taxonomy places the organism in Eukaryota, Viridiplantae, Streptophyta, Pinopsida, Pinales, Pinaceae. The record is from Rfam.
AUGUAAUGUAAUGCCUACAAUGUCAAUGCACCUGAUCCCAUCAGAACUCUACAGAUCAGUGUGCUUGGGAUAGAGUAGUACUGGGAUGGGUGACCUCAUAGGAAGUCCUAGAGUCUUACAUG